Molecule: long non-coding RNA, 807 nt
Organism: Gadus chalcogrammus (walleye pollock)
Lineage: Eukaryota; Metazoa; Chordata; Actinopteri; Gadiformes; Gadidae
Exons: 6
Source: RefSeq, a predicted model, not a curated record
UGUUGACUAUAAAGAGCCAUCAUCAAUGGAUCUCUGAUAACAUGAUCAAACAUGGACCAAAAGCGUAGAUCCACUUACUUUUCCCCCACGGAAUUGGAAAUUCUAAUGAACGCAUAUGCCGAGCAGGUACCCAUUUUCACCAAAAAAAGCAAUACCGCCGCGGCAGCGAGAGCGCGAGAGAGAGCUUGGCAGGAAAUAGCUGAACAAGUCAAUGCGAACAACCCGAGUUGCCCCAAGAGGACUUGGCAGCAAAUGAAGAUGAAGUACAAAAAUAUAGUUCAAACAGUAAAUCGAAAAAAAGCAGAGGCCCGGAAGACUGGAGGGGGUCCACCACCUGCAGCCCUCACAGUGGCUGAGGAGAUGGCCCUCAGCCAACAGAGUAUGCUUCCUGUGGCUGAGGGCAUCCCUGGAGGGAGCUCCUCUGAUCCCCCCACCCCCCAGGAUAGAAGUGCCUUUAUAAGAGGAAGAUGAUGGAGAAACAUUGUCUGCGGCAUUUGAAAGGGAAGAGGAAAGGCCUAUUGAGAUUAACACCUUUUAAAAAUAACAUCUAAAAGUUGAUGAUAGAGUUGUACAAUUUAAAACUGACAUCUUCUUUCUCUCAAACAGGAUGAAAUCGAAUUCAAUGAGAGGCCAUCCACUUCUAAAUCACAGCUUACCUCUCUUCCAGUCAAAGAGCUCUAUAAAAUCUAUCUGGGAAAACAAAUAAAUAAAGCAGACUUGGAAAUGGACCACAUUAGGCAAAAGAUGCUAAAGGAUGCUUUGGAGAUCCAAAUUUUGGAACAUAAGUUAAAGGAAAUAAAGAAAUCC